RNAcentral lists this ribosomal RNA (465 nucleotides) under Vreelandella stevensii. RNAcentral describes it as "partial 16S ribosomal RNA". It matches the Rfam family "Bacterial small subunit ribosomal RNA", at positions 338 to 795 of the family's 1533-position model. Lineage: Bacteria; Pseudomonadati; Pseudomonadota; Gammaproteobacteria; Oceanospirillales; Halomonadaceae. The record is from RNAcentral.
CCUACGGGAGGCAGCAGUGGGGAAUAUUGGACAAUGGGCGAAAGCCUGAUCCAGCCAUGCCGCGUGUGUGAAGAAGGCCUUCGGGUUGUAAAGCACUUUCAGUGGGGAAGAAAGCCUUGGGGCUAAUACCCUCGAGGAAGGACAUCACCCACAGAAGAAGCACCGACUAACUCCGUGCCAGCAGCCGCGGUAAUACGGAGGGUGCGAGCGUUAAUCGGAAUUACUGGGCGUAAAGCGCGCGUAGGCGGUCUGAUAAGCCGGUUGUGAAAGCCCCGGGCUCAACCUGGGAACGGCAUCCGGAACUGUCAGGCUAGAGUGCAGGAGAGGAAGGUAGAAUUCCCGGUGUAGCGGUGAAAUGCGUAGAGAUCGGGAGGAAUACCAGUGGCGAAGGCGGCCUUCUGGACUGACACUGACGCUGAGGUGCGAAAGCGUGGGUAGCAAACAGGAUUAGAUACCCGUGUAGUC